CAAAACGACUCUCGACAACGGAUAUCUCGGCUCUCGCAUCGAUGAAUUGCAGAAUCCCGUGAAUCAUCGAGUCUUUGAACGCAAGUUGCGCCCGAAGCCUUCUGGCUGAGGACGUCUGCCUGGGCGUCACG
Molecule: ribosomal RNA, 131 nt
Filed under: Nothofagus menziesii
Lineage: Eukaryota; Viridiplantae; Streptophyta; Magnoliopsida; Fagales; Nothofagaceae
Also listed under: 1 other name
Description: Lophozonia menziesii 5.8S ribosomal RNA
Rfam family: 5.8S ribosomal RNA
About the family: 5.8S ribosomal RNA (5.8S rRNA) is a component of the large subunit of the eukaryotic ribosome. It is transcribed by RNA polymerase I as part of the 45S precursor that also contains 18S and 28S rRNA.
Source: RNAcentral